This is a long non-coding RNA of Ficedula albicollis (Collared flycatcher), 589 nucleotides long. RefSeq lists it as uncharacterized. The transcript has 3 exons. NCBI's taxonomy places the organism in Eukaryota, Metazoa, Chordata, Aves, Passeriformes, Muscicapidae. The record is from RefSeq and is a predicted model, not a curated record.
GCCGGGGGAGCCUUGACCCUGGUAACAUAAGCCCAGGCUUUACCUUUAAACACAUCAGCACAAAAAGCAGUAUGAAUGAUAUGAAUGUGCUAGACAUCACUGAAGGAAAAAAGAAUAGUCUCAAGGGAGGAAGAAAGCCACCUCCAGGACUAGUAAAACAGAAGAAUUCACCAGCCUAGGGAAAAACAAACGAGGCCGAGGAAGAGGAAUGCAUCCACAAGAAAGCCAAACACAACAGAGAUACUUCCCUGGCUGAAUUUGGGGUGGAGGAGACCACAGCCCACAGAAGCCAGGUUUCUUCCCCCUGAAACAAGGCAAGGGAGGAGGUUUUGGGUCCGCCUCUGGUCAGAGGCAGAGAACACCCAUCCUCCCUUACACAAACUGGCCCAGCUGUGGAAGCCCCAACCCCACAGGCCACAUCCUCAGGACCUUGGCAGCUGAGGGAGUGUCAUAGUCCAUCAAAGACCCUGAAAAGUGCCCCCCAGAGUCUUUCCUGAAUUCUCUCUCUCUCUCUCUCUCUCUCUCUCAUAUUUAGUAUGAGAUAAAACCCAUACUAUUGACAUUGGCAUAUGGUCUCGUUUGCACCUUA